This is a long non-coding RNA of Callithrix jacchus (white-tufted-ear marmoset), 1866 nucleotides long. The record is from Ensembl. NCBI's taxonomy places the organism in Eukaryota, Metazoa, Chordata, Mammalia, Primates, Cebidae.
AGCAGCCCAGCGCCUGGGCAGCGGCCAGUGGGCAGGGAGGGGCAGCCCCUCUCCAUUUCCCCACCUCCCAAGCACCUUCCCUUUGCAGUGGACAGCUUCUGUAGCAGCAGUAUUGACAAUGAUGCCUUCAUCAUUAUCCUGAAAACCUGUCAGAGGUAAAGGUUUGAUUGGUCUCUACCCAGACCAUAGAGGAAUUUCUCUAGUUGCUUCAGAGCUAGGGAAAUGCAUGUGUUUGUGUGUUCAAGUCAAGAUCCCAUCAAGAACUGUAGGCUCUGUUUGGUGUCGUCUCUGAAGUCUCUUAUUUAGUUCUGGGAUAUGUGUGCAGGAUGUGUAGGUUUGUUACACAGGCAAACCUACUGUGUAACAAACCUACACAUCCAUCAACCCAUCACCUGGUGUUAAGCCCCGUGUGCAUCCAAUACUUCUGCUGAUACUCCGCCUCCCCCCACCCCACCCCUGCCAUUGCCCGGUGUGCGGUGUUUCCCUCCCUGUGUCCACGUGUUCUCGUUGUUCAGCAGCCGCUUAUAAGUGAGGACAUGCGGUGUUUGGUUUUCAGUUCAUGUGUUAGUUGGCUGAGGAUAAUGGUGUCCAGCUUCAUCUGUGUCCCUGUGAAGGACAUGAUUCUGGAGUCUCUUUUCAUCAGGAGUCGUCUUAGCCACCUCUCCUCUGCUCCACAGUUUGUUUCUCAUCUUUGAUCUGAAGGAACUCGGUCGAUUGUCCCACGGAAUAUUCCACCUUCUGGAUUUAUCUCCUGAUGAGGGCCAGUCAACCAGAGAAGAGAGGAAAGGAAGCUGAUGUGUGCCCCACCCACCCUGGUGUCACGGCUCCUCCACGUGGAGAGAAAGGUCUGGCUCCCCGUAUAGUUCAAGCUCCCGUGGGUGGGUCCUUCUGGUUGCUGUUGCCACUGCUGCCACCACAGAAUUACUUAGGAAUUAGGACGUAAGUGAAUAUAUACACAUUUUUAACGGGAAUUUUCUGAGUGUUAGGAGACCUUUUUCCGAUGAAUGACUCAACCCAGAACUUGAGGGUCUCUGAGGCCAUCUGUACCCAUACCCUCUAGUCUGGAUUUUAGGCUUUUUGAGUCUAGGCUGAAUGACGCUGAAGGAAAACAUGGGAAAGUCACUGCCAGUUCAGUGAUAUUUAAAGUGCUGUCCUUCCUCCCAAUGUACCUUUUCCUAUUUACUUUUUAGAGACUGCCAUUAGCUGCUCCAUGCUUCAUAUUCAGGUUUUAAAAUAGCUGCAUUUAGUGGGAAAGACAGGAAGGAGAGUUCCGUUACAGCAGGAACCUGGAUUCGACACCCUUCACUCUCACCGUGACUGCUCUGAUACGUCACAUGAAAUGUGGCAACUCUAUGAUCACAUAGGUCCGUAUUCCUCCCACCCACACCCUUUAUGCUAUUGUUGGUAGACAUACUUUAUUUACGCUUAUUAUGAACUCCACAAGGUAAUGUAGCAUUUGCUUUAAACAGUCACAUGCAGCAUAAAAGAAUUAAAGGCAAUAAAGCAGAAAACAUCUUUUGUAUUUAGCCAGAUAUUUACCAUUUCUUAUGCUCUUCAUUCACUUCUGAGGAUCUACAUUUUCAUCUGAUAUCAACUUCUUUCAUUCUGAAAGAAAUUCUUUCAGCGUUUCAUGUUGUGAGCGUUUGCUGGUGACAAAUUGUUUUCUUUGACAUGAAAAUGCCUUUCUUUUUUUUUUCCCCCCCGAAUAGGAAAACAUGGUAAACUCACUGCCACUUCAGUGAUUUUUGUUUAUUUGUUUGUUUGUUUUGAUACGGAGUCUUACUCAUCGCAGGCUGGAGUGCAGUGGUGUAAUCUCGGCUCACCACAAUCUCCACUUUCUGGGUUCAAGCAAUUUUCCUGCCUCGG